RNAcentral lists this ribosomal RNA (485 nucleotides) under Pseudomonas sp. BF.85. RNAcentral describes it as "bacterial SSU rRNA". It matches the Rfam family "Bacterial small subunit ribosomal RNA", at positions 12 to 491 of the family's 1533-position model. The record is from RNAcentral. Lineage: Bacteria; Pseudomonadati; Pseudomonadota; Gammaproteobacteria; Pseudomonadales; Pseudomonadaceae.
UUUGAAUCAUGGCUCAGAUUGAACGCUGGCGGCAGGCCUAACACAUGCAAGUCGAGCGGUAGAGAGGUGCUUGCACCUCUUGAGAGCGGCGGACGGGUGAGUAAUGCCUAGGAAUCUGCCUGGUAGUGGGGGAUAACGCUCGGAAACGGACGCUAAUACCGCAUACGUCCUACGGGAGAAAGCAGGGGACCUUCGGGCCUUGCGCUAUCAGAUGAGCCUAGGUCGGAUUAGCUAGUUGGUGAGGUAAUGGCUCACCAAGGCGACGAUCCGUAACUGGUCUGAGAGGAUGAUCAGUCACACUGGAACUGAGACACGGUCCAGACUCCUACGGGAGGCAGCAGUGGGGAAUAUUGGACAAUGGGCGAAAGCCUGAUCCAGCCAUGCCGCGUGUGUGAAGAAGGUCUUCGGAUUGUAAAGCACUUUAAGUUGGGAGGAAGGGCAUUAACCUAAUACGUUAGUGUUUUGACGUUACCGACAGAAUAAGC